This 497-nucleotide ribosomal RNA is filed under the name uncultured bacterium. RNAcentral's name for it is "partial 16S ribosomal RNA". It matches the Rfam family "Bacterial small subunit ribosomal RNA", at positions 28 to 507 of the family's 1533-position model. The record is from RNAcentral.
GAUGAACGCUGGCGGCGUGCCUAAUACAUGCAAGUCGAGCGAACAGACGAGGAGCUUGCUCCUCUGACGUUAGCGGCGGACGGGUGAGUAACACGUGGAUAACCUACCUAUAAGACUGGGAUAACUUCGGGAAACCGGAGCUAAUACCGGAUAAUAUAUUGAACCGCAUGGUUCAAUAGUGAAAGACGGUUUUGCUGUCACUUAUAGAUGGAUCCGCGCCGCAUUAGCUAGUUGGUAAGGUAACGGCUUACCAAGGCAACGAUGCGUAGCCGACCUGAGAGGGUGAUCGGCCACACUGGAACUGGGACACGGUCCAGACUCCUACGGGAGGCAGCAGUAGGGAAUCUUCCGCAAUGGGCGAAAGCCUGACGGAGCAACGCCGCGUGAGUGAUGAAGGUCUUCGGAUCGUAAAACUCUGUUAUUAGGGAAGAACAAAUGUGUAAGUAACUACGCACGUCUUGACGGUACCUAAUCAGAAAGCCACGGCUAACUACGUG